GGUUAAGCGACUAAGCGUACACGGUGGAUGCCCUGGCAGUCAGAGGCGAUGAAGGGCGUGCUAAUCUGCGAUAAGCGUCGGCGAGGUGAUAUGAACCUUUGACCCGGCGAUACCCGAAUGGGGAAACCCAGUGUGUUUCGACACACUAUCAUGUCAUGAAUACAUAGUGGCAUGAGGCGAACCGGGGGAACUGAAACAUCUAAGUACCCCGAGGAAAAGAAAUCAACCGAGAUUCCCCCAGUAGCGGCGAGCGAACGGGGAAGAGCCCAGAACCUGAAUCAGUUUGUGCAUUAGUGGAAGCGUCUGGAAGGUCGCACAGUAUAGGGUGAUAGUCCCGUACACAAAAAUGCACUUAUUGUGAGUUCGAUGAGUAGGGCGGGACACGUGACAUCCUGUCUGAAUAUGGGGGGACCAUCCUCCAAGGCUAAA
This 429-nucleotide non-coding RNA is filed under the name Anisakis simplex (herring worm). RNAcentral's name for it is "Bacterial large subunit ribosomal RNA". It matches the Rfam family "Bacterial large subunit ribosomal RNA", at positions 1 to 470 of the family's 2925-position model. The record is from Rfam by way of RNAcentral. Lineage: Eukaryota; Metazoa; Nematoda; Chromadorea; Rhabditida; Anisakidae.